RNAcentral lists this ribosomal RNA (184 nucleotides) under Pseudomonas aeruginosa. RNAcentral describes it as "partial 23S ribosomal RNA". It matches the Rfam family "Bacterial large subunit ribosomal RNA", at positions 2747 to 2925 of the family's 2925-position model. The record is from RNAcentral. Lineage: Bacteria; Pseudomonadati; Pseudomonadota; Gammaproteobacteria; Pseudomonadales; Pseudomonadaceae.
AGCUAUGUUCGGAAAAGAUAACCGCUGAAAGCAUCUAAGCGGGAAACUUGCCUCAAGAUGAGAUCUCACUGGGAACUUGAUUCCCCUGAAGGGCCGUCGAAGACUACGACGUUGAUAGGCUGGGUGUGUAAGCGUUGUGAGGCGUUGAGCUAACCAGUACUAAUUGCCCGUGAGGCUUGACCAU